This 482-nucleotide ribosomal RNA is filed under the name uncultured bacterium. Its description in RNAcentral is "partial 16S ribosomal RNA". It matches the Rfam family "Bacterial small subunit ribosomal RNA", at positions 30 to 507 of the family's 1533-position model. The record is from RNAcentral.
AUUGAACGCUGGCGGUAUGCUUUACACAUGCAAGUCGAACGGUAACAGGCCGCAAGGUGCUGACGAGUGGCGAACGGGUGCGUAAUGCAUCGGAACGUGCCCAGUCGUGGGGGAUAACUACUCGAAAGAGUAGCUAAUACCGCAUACGAUCUAUGGAUGAAAGCGGGGGACCGUAAGGCCUCGCGCGAUUGGAGCGGCCGAUGUCAGAUUAGGUAGUUGGUGGGGUAAAGGCUCACCAAGCCAACGAUCUGUAGCUGGUCUGAGAGGACGACCAGCCACACUGGGACUGAGACACGGCCCAGACUCCUACGGGAGGCAGCAGUGGGGAAUUUUGGACAAUGGGCGCAAGCCUGAUCCAGCAAUGCCGCGUGCAGGAAGAAGGCCUUCGGGUUGUAAACUGCUUUUGUACGGAACGAAACGGCUCUGGUUAAUACCCGGGGCUAAUGACGGUACCGUAAGAAUAAGCACCGGCUAACUACGUG